CCUGUCUCUAUGUGUAAAAAUAAAUGGCUGCAGUAAUACUGACAUUGUACUAAGGUAGCAUAAUCAUUAGUUUUUUAAUUGGGGACUGGAAUGAAGGGUAUUAACCUCACAGAUAGUUUUAUAAAAAUUUUUUGAAUUAAAAUUAAAAGUAAGAAUGCUUUUAUCAAAUCCUGGGACGAGAAGACCCUAGAAGCUUAAAAUUUUAAAAAAAUUUUUGGUUGGGGCGAUUUUAGGAAGAAAAAGAUCUUUUUAAUGAAAUUUAAGGGAUUUAGUUACUCUAGGGAUAACAGCGAUAUUUAGUUUGAGAGUUCUUAUUUUGAAUUAAAUUUGCGACCUCGAUGCUGAAUUAAAUAUAUAUGUUAGGUGGAGGAGCUUAAU
Molecule: ribosomal RNA, 378 nt
Filed under: Stygnopsis robusta
Lineage: Eukaryota; Metazoa; Arthropoda; Arachnida; Opiliones; Stygnopsidae
Description: partial 16S ribosomal RNA
Source: RNAcentral